Molecule: ribosomal RNA, 255 nt
Filed under: uncultured bacterium
Lineage: Bacteria
Description: partial small subunit ribosomal RNA
Rfam family: Bacterial small subunit ribosomal RNA
Source: RNAcentral
AGGACGAACGCUGGCGGCGUGCUUAACACAUGCAAGUCGAGCGGAAAGGCCCUUCGGGGUACUCGAGCGGCGAACGGGUGAGUAACACGUGGGUAACCUGCCCCUUGCUCUGGGAUAACUCCGGGAAACCGGGGCUAAUACCGGAUAUGACGCUCGCAGGCAUCUGCUGGGUGUGGAAAGUUUUUCGGCGAGGGAUGGGCCCGCGGCCUAUCAGCUUGUUGGUGGGGUGAUGGCCUACCAAGGCAGUGACGGGUA